CGAGCACGCGCGUGUGGCAUAUCAAUAAGCGGAGGAAAAGAAACUAACAAGGAUUCCCUUAGUAACGGCGAGUGAAGCGGGAAGAGCUCAAAUUUGAAAUCUUCAAGGUUCUACCUUGACGAAUUGUAGUUUAUAGAAGUGUUUUCUGUUAGUAGAGUGGCAAAAGUUCUUUGGAAUAGGACAUCAUAGAGGGUGAGAAUCCCGUAUUUGGUCAUUCUUUCUAGCUUUGUGAUACACUUUCAACGAGUCGGAUUGUUUGGGAAUGCAGUCCAAAAUGGGUGGUAAAUUUCAUCUAAAGCUAAAUAUUGGCGAGAGACCGAUAGCGAACAAGUACCGUGAGGGAAAGAUGAAAAGAACUUUGAAAAGAGAGUUAAACAGUACGUGAAAUUGUCAAAAGGGAAGCGUUUGACACCAGUGUUGUUUUUCCGAAAAUCAAUUAAGAAUGUUUUAGUUUUUGAGGAGUUAUGACUUCAUCGGCUUGCUCCUUUCUUUAUGAACUUUCUUAAUGCACUUUUCGGUUAACAAGUCAACAUCAAUUUCUUUUGUUGUAAAAGAGUAUGAGGAAGGUGGCUUUCUUUUCGGAGAAAGUGUUUAUAGCCUUAGUACCUUCUGCAAUCGGAGAGAUUGAGGAUCUGCAGCUGUAGACUCUUCGGGGUUAGAUACAUUUGUGCUAAGUUAUAGCUCUUGUAUAGACAACAUUGUUGACUAUGCUCAGUCAUGUAGCUUACUCGCUUAUGCUAUUUUACCUACGCUUAGGAUGUUGAUGUGAUACUGCGAGCA
RNAcentral lists this ribosomal RNA (780 nucleotides) under uncultured Neocallimastigales. RNAcentral describes it as "partial large subunit ribosomal RNA". It matches the Rfam family "Eukaryotic large subunit ribosomal RNA", at positions 19 to 646 of the family's 3401-position model. The record is from RNAcentral. Lineage: Eukaryota; Fungi; Neocallimastigomycota; Neocallimastigomycetes; Neocallimastigales.